UCCCAGUUCGGAUUGUAGUCUGCAACCCGACUACAUGAAGCCGGAAUCGCUAGUAAUCGCGGAUCAGAAUGCCGCGGUGAAUACGUUCCCGGGUCUUGUACACACCGCCCGUCACACCAUGGGAGUCGGGGCGCCCGAAGCCACUUAGCUAACCCAUUUGGGAAGCGAGUGUCGAAGGUGAAAUCAAUAACUGGGGUGAAGUCGUAACAAGGUACC
This 216-nucleotide ribosomal RNA is filed under the name uncultured bacterium. Its description in RNAcentral is "partial 16S ribosomal RNA". It matches the Rfam family "Bacterial small subunit ribosomal RNA", at positions 1286 to 1500 of the family's 1533-position model. The record is from RNAcentral.